CAUUAGUUAGUUGGUGGGGUAAUGGCCUACCAAGACGAUGAUGUGUAGCCGGGCUGAGAGGUCGAACGGCCACAUUGGGACUGAGACACGGCCCAAACUCCUACGGGAGGCAGCAGUAAGGAAUUUUCGGCAAUGGAGGAAACUCUGACCGAGCAAUGCCGCGUGAACGAUGAAGUAUUUCGGUACGUAAAGUUCUUUUAUUAGGGAAGAAAAGAUGGUGGAAAAACCAUUAUGACGGUACCUAAUGAAUAAGCCCCGGCUAACUAUGUGCCAGCAGCCGCGGUAAUACAUAGGGGGCAAGCGUUAUCCGGAAUUAUUGGGCGUAAAGGGUGCGUAGGCGGUUAAAUAAGUUUAUGGUCUAAGUGCAACGCUCAACGUUGUGAUGCUAUAAAAACUGUUUAGCUAGAGUUGGAUAGAGGCAAGUGGAAUUCCGUGUGUAGUGGUAAAAUGCGUAAAUAUACGGAGGAACACCAGAAGCGAAGGCGGCUUGCUGGGUCUUAACUGACGCUGAGGCACGAAAGCGUGGGGAGCAAACAGGAUUAGAUACCCUGGUAGUCCACGCCCUAAACGAUGAGUACUAAACGUUGGAUAAAACCAGUGUUGAAGUUAACACAUUAAGUACUCCGCCUGAGUAGUACGUACGCAAGUAUGAAACUUAAAGGAAUUGACGGGACUCCGCACAAGCGGUGGAUCAUGUUGUUUAAUUCGAAGGUACCCGAAAAACCUCACCAGGUCUUGACAUGCUUUUGCAAAGCUGUAGAAAUACAGUGGAGGUUAUCAGAAGCACAGGUGGUGCAUGGUUGUCGUCAGCUCGUGUCGUGAGAUGUUGGGUUAAGUCCCGCAACGAGCGCAACCCUUGUUGUUAAUUGCCAUCAUUAAGUUGGGGACUUUAGCAAGACUGCCAAUGAUAAAUUGGAGGAAGGUGGGGACGACGUCAAAUCAUCAUGCCCCUUAUGACCUGGGCUACAAACGUGAUACAAUGGCUGUUACAAAGGGUAGCUAAAGCGUAAGC
This 1012-nucleotide ribosomal RNA is filed under the name Candidatus Phytoplasma solani. Its description in RNAcentral is "bacterial SSU rRNA". It matches the Rfam family "Bacterial small subunit ribosomal RNA", at positions 239 to 1262 of the family's 1533-position model. Lineage: Bacteria; Bacillati; Mycoplasmatota; Mollicutes; Acholeplasmatales; Acholeplasmataceae. The record is from RNAcentral.